This 279-nucleotide ribosomal RNA is filed under the name uncultured bacterium. RNAcentral's name for it is "partial 16S ribosomal RNA". It matches the Rfam family "Bacterial small subunit ribosomal RNA", at positions 506 to 784 of the family's 1533-position model. The record is from RNAcentral.
UGCCAGCAGCCGCGGUAAUACGGAGGGGGUUAGCGUUGUUCGGAAUUACCGGGCGUAAAGCGCGCGUAGGCGGAUUAGUAAGUUAGGGGUGAAAUCCCGGGGCUCAACCCCGGAACUGCCUCUAAUACUGCUAGUCUUGAGUCCGAGAGAGGUGAGUGGAAUUCCGAGUGUAGGGGUGAAAUCCGUAGAUAUUCGGAGGAACACCAGUGGCGAAGGCGGCUUUCUGGACCGAUACUGACGCUGAGACGCGAAAGCGUGGGGAGCAAACAGGAUUAGAUA